GUGGGGAAUAUUGGACAAUGGGGGAAACCCUGAUCCAGCGACGCCGCGUGAGUGAAGAAGUAUUUCGGUAUGUAAAGCUCUAUCAGCAGGGAAGAAAAUGACGGUACCUGACUAAGAAGCCCCGGCUAACUACGUGCCAGCAGCCGCGGUAAUACGUAGGGGGCAAGCGUUAUCCGGAUUUACUGGGUGUAAAGGGAGCGUAGACGGCACUGCAAGUCUGGAGUGAAAGCCCGGGGCUCAACCCCGGGACUGCUUUGGAAACUGUGGUGCUGGAGUGCGGGAGAGGUAAGUGGAAUUCCUAGUGUAGCGGUGAAAUGCGUAGAUAUUAGGAGGAACACCAGUGGCGAAGGCGGCUUACUGGACUGUAACUGACGUUGAGGCUCGAAAGCGUGGGGAGCAAACAGGAUUAGAUACCCGAGUAGUCC
This 425-nucleotide ribosomal RNA is filed under the name uncultured bacterium. RNAcentral's name for it is "partial 16S ribosomal RNA". It matches the Rfam family "Bacterial small subunit ribosomal RNA", at positions 354 to 796 of the family's 1533-position model. The record is from RNAcentral.